UACGAAGGGUGCAAGCGUUACUCGGAAUCACUGGGCGUAAAGCGCACGUAGGCGGAUUGCUAAGUCAGGGGUGAAAUCCUGGAGCUCAACUCCAGAACUGCCUUUGAUACUGGCGAUCUUGAGUCCGGGAGAGGUGAGUGGAACUGCGAGUGUAGAGGUGAAAUUCGUAGAUAUUCGCAAGAACACCAGUGGCGAAGGCGGCUCACUGGCCCGGUACUGACGCUGAGGUGCGAAAGCGUGGGGAGCGAACAGG
RNAcentral lists this ribosomal RNA (253 nucleotides) under uncultured bacterium. RNAcentral's name for it is "partial 16S ribosomal RNA". It matches the Rfam family "Bacterial small subunit ribosomal RNA", at positions 524 to 776 of the family's 1533-position model. The record is from RNAcentral.